AAAACUUUCAACAACGGAUCUCUUGGUUCUGGCAUCGAUGAAGAACGCAGCGAAAUGCGAUAAGUAAUGUGAAUUGCAGAAUUCAGUGAAUCAUCGAAUCUUUGAACGCACAUUGCGCCCGCUAGUAUUCUGGCGGGCAUGCCUGUUCGAGCGUCAUUUCAACCCUCAAGCACUGCUUGGUGUUGGGG
RNAcentral lists this ribosomal RNA (188 nucleotides) under Reticulascus clavatus. Its description in RNAcentral is "5.8S ribosomal RNA". The stretch from base 3 to 156 matches the Rfam family "5.8S ribosomal RNA". Rfam says of the family: 5.8S ribosomal RNA (5.8S rRNA) is a component of the large subunit of the eukaryotic ribosome. It is transcribed by RNA polymerase I as part of the 45S precursor that also contains 18S and 28S rRNA. The record is from RNAcentral. Lineage: Eukaryota; Fungi; Ascomycota; Sordariomycetes; Glomerellales; Reticulascaceae.